This 1174-nucleotide long non-coding RNA is filed under the name Sorghum bicolor (sorghum). RNAcentral's name for it is "long non-coding RNA (SBIC_LNC008867)". Lineage: Eukaryota; Viridiplantae; Streptophyta; Magnoliopsida; Poales; Poaceae. The record is from RNAcentral.
AGGGUAAACUAUUAAGAUUUAAACUUACUCAUAUUACCUUCCACCAUGGGGCUUGUAACCGUCACUUGUGUCUUGAGUAGUUAAAGGAUAGAAUGGUCAAGUCAAGCAUCAUGUCUCUUGUUCUUGAUCAACUAUGGCUCUGGAGUUUUUUUUAGAUUUUCAAAUAAAAGUCAGAGAUUCCUUGUAUGACUCUCUCUAGUCUAUCUUUUGUGGUAUUUCUGGAUCCUUACCAAGGCAGUGAUGGUAUAUGUCUUCUCUCAAAGUAUGUGGUAAUUUUGACAUGAGGCAUAGUGACAUUGCUUUCUCUCUCACCCUACUCUAAUAAGGUUUUGAUAUCUAGAGCUCAUAGGUGGGAGAUAAAGUAUACAUAUACUUACAAGACAUUUAUUGCAUAGUCAAACCAUGGAUCUAGAGAAACAAGUCAAUAAGUCAAAUCAAGAUGUGCAUGUGUGGCGAGUGAAUGGUGUAUGGUGAUGAUGGUGAUAACAAUGGUGAAAGUCUAAUUAUACUUUUGCUCUUUUUAAGAGAUCCAUACAUUGCUUGCACUUUGAAACUUUUUGAGGAUAAUGAGAUGCUCUAUAUAUUUUUUCUUUUCUCUUAGGUGGGUAUCUUGUAAACCUAAUUCUAUUGUCGGACACUUGUCCAUUUUUACCGCUCGUCUCACUUUUCCUUUUCUUCGAGGUUUCGGGCACUUACCCCUUUUUAUUUCCUCCUAUUUUUCCUUUUUCUUCUCUUAUUUUUUAGAGCACUCACCCUCCUAGAAUAAUGUAGCAAGUGGUAGUAACCAAAAUAUCUCGAGCAUUUAUUUCACAGGGAAAAUAGGAAUAGGAAAAAGUUUUUGGCUAUUGUCUCCCGGAUAGGAGUAGAAUAAUUUUAGGUGAAUCUGGAGAUGGAAUUGAGUAGAUGUAUGUGGAUGCGUACUUCUGGAGUAGAACUAGCAUGUAUGAGUGAACGUACAAGUGAAUCUUGAUUUUAACCGCAUGACAAGCUCCUAAGGGUCUACACAGCUUGCCUACACUCAAUGCUCAUAAGGAGUAAAAAGUAAAUGUAUGGUUCAUAGUCUAAUAAGCAUGUAUAUAUGGCUGUGGUCUCUAGGAACAGAUAAACAGCAGCUCAACCUUCCCAUAUCGUAUCCGUUAACGACUUAGACUUUAGAUCAAGUGCUCUUCCCACA